This is a long non-coding RNA of Temnothorax curvispinosus, 595 nucleotides long. RefSeq lists it as uncharacterized. NCBI's taxonomy places the organism in Eukaryota, Metazoa, Arthropoda, Insecta, Hymenoptera, Formicidae. The record is from RefSeq and is a predicted model, not a curated record. The transcript is spliced from 3 exons.
ACAAUAAUAUGUGCAUGUAGUACCGUCGGUCACGCGGAAUGCAAGAGAAAAUCCGCCGUUAAAUUGAGCGAACAUUCACGAAUCCUGAUACCCACAAAAGGAACGUGAAAAAGAGCAGGAAAAGGAAAGAGCACUAGCGGCGAAGCAGACAGAAAAGAACAAACAGAAGAGACAGAUUCAAGCUUUGUCUUUUAAUCUGGACGAAGACGAAGAUGAAGCUGAGAUGUCUUCUGACGAAGACAAUGCCGAAAAAUCCCCGUAGGCAGAAAAUGUGCAAUCUGAUGGCCCUGCGAUUAAGAAGAUUUAGAAAAAUCCAGAUGUAGAUACAUGUUUUUUGCCAGUAGGGAAAGGAACGAGGAGGAAAAUAAACUUAGGGAAGAAUUGAGACAAGAAUGGGCUAGAAAGCAGAACGCGUUGAAGGAAGAAGAAAUUGAGAUCACAUUCAGUUAUUGGGAUGGAUCUGAUCAUCGUCGGAGUGUUAUAAUGAAGAAAGGUUCUUCAGAGAUGUUUAGAAGUUCUGAGGCGUGAAUUCAGCGAGCUUAAAACAGUAAUGGCAGAUCAGUUAAUGUAUGUCAAGGACAAUCUUAUAUUACCG